This 833-nucleotide ribosomal RNA is filed under the name Psychrobacter sp. BAL345. RNAcentral describes it as "bacterial SSU rRNA". It matches the Rfam family "Bacterial small subunit ribosomal RNA", at positions 85 to 916 of the family's 1533-position model. The record is from RNAcentral. Lineage: Bacteria; Pseudomonadati; Pseudomonadota; Gammaproteobacteria; Moraxellales; Moraxellaceae.
CAGGCGUCGAGCGGCGGACGGGUGAGUAACACUUAGGAAUCUACCUAGUAGUGGGGGAUAGCUCGGGGAAACUCGAAUUAAUACCGCAUACGUCCUACGGGAGAAAGGGGGCAACUUGUUGCUCUCGCUAUUAGAUGAGCCUAAGUCGGAUUAGCUAGUUGGUGGGGUAAAGGCCUACCAAGGCGACGAUCUGUAGCUGGUCUGAGAGGAUGAUCAGCCACACCGGGACUGAGACACGGCCCGGACUCCUACGGGAGGCAGCAGUGGGGAAUAUUGGACAAUGGGGGCAACCCUGAUCCAGCCAUGCCGCGUGUGUGAAGAAGGCCUUUUGGUUGUAAAGCACUUUAAGCAGUGAAGAAGACCUAACGGUUAAUACCCGUUAGCGAUGACAUUAGCUGCAGAAUAAGCACCGGCUAACUCUGUGCCAGCAGCCGCGGUAAUACAGAGGGUGCAAGCGUUAAUCGGAAUUACUGGGCGUAAAGCGAGCGUAGGUGGCUUGAUAAGUCAGAUGUGAAAUCCCCGGGCUUAACCUGGGAACUGCAUCUGAUACUGUCAGGCUAGAAUAGGUGAGAGGAAGGUAGAAUUCCAGGUGUAGCGGUGAAAUGCGUAGAGAUCUGGAGGAAUACCGAUGGCGAAGGCAGCCUUCUGGCAUCAUAUUGACACUGAGGUUCGAAAGCGUGGGUAGCAAACAGGAUUAGAUACCCUGGUAGUCCACGCCGUAAACGAUGUCUACUAGUCGUUGGGUCCCUUGAGGACUUAGUGACGCAGCUAACGCAAUAAGUAGACCGCCUGGGGAGUACGGCCGCAAGGUUAAAACUCAAAUGAAUUGACGG